RNAcentral lists this ribosomal RNA (194 nucleotides) under Staphylococcus epidermidis. RNAcentral describes it as "partial 16S ribosomal RNA". It matches the Rfam family "Bacterial small subunit ribosomal RNA", at positions 128 to 317 of the family's 1533-position model. The record is from RNAcentral. Lineage: Bacteria; Bacillati; Bacillota; Bacilli; Caryophanales; Staphylococcaceae.
ACCUAUAAGACUGGGAUAACUUCGGGAAACCGGAGCUAAUACCGGAUAAUAUAUUGAACCGCAUGGUUCAAUAGUGAAAGACGGUUUUGCUGUCACUUAUAGAUGGAUCCGCGCCGCAUUAGCUAGUUGGUAAGGUAACGGCUUACCAAGGCAACAUGCGUAGCCGACCUGAGAGGGUGAUCGGCCACACUGGA